Phrynosoma platyrhinos (Desert horned lizard) is the source of this 72-nucleotide non-coding RNA. The record is from the annotation of a GenBank genome assembly. NCBI's taxonomy places the organism in Eukaryota, Metazoa, Chordata, Lepidosauria, Squamata, Phrynosomatidae.
GCCAAUGUGGCAUAGUGGUUUCUGUGUUGGACUAUGACUCUGGAGACCAAGGUUUGAUUCCCCGCUCGGCCA